AGCGGCGGACGGGUGAGUAACACGUGGGUAACCUACCUAUAAGACUGGGAUAACUCGGGAAACCGGAGCUAAUACCGGAUAAUAUUCGAACCGCAUGGUUCGAUAGUGAAAGAUGGUUUUGCUAUCACUUAUAGAUGGACCUGCGCCGUAUUAGCUAGUUGGUAAGGUAACGGCUUACCAAGGCGACGAUACGUAGCCGACCUGAGAGGGUGAUCGGCCACACUGGAACUGAGACACGGUCCAGACUCCUACGGGAGGCAGAGCA
Molecule: ribosomal RNA, 265 nt
Filed under: uncultured Staphylococcus sp.
Lineage: Bacteria; Bacillati; Bacillota; Bacilli; Caryophanales; Staphylococcaceae
Description: partial 16S ribosomal RNA
Rfam family: Bacterial small subunit ribosomal RNA
Source: RNAcentral